UUGAUACUGUUUAUAGGGGACUUCAGACUGCUUGCAUUCAGUGGGGGGACAUGGGAGGCUUGAAGUGCUGCUUCCAGCCCAAGCUUUGUUAUGUGGGGGUUCCAUUGUAGCAGCUGGGCUGUAAAUUAAGAUUCUUUAGAGAGAAAUCGGCAACAUUGAGGAAGAUGGCCGAGAGGAGAUUGUACUUUUAUGAGAUUGCCCAAACCACCCUUUGAUUAUCCAGUUCAUCCUGACGAAACAAGGACAGGAUUAAAGGCCCUGAUGAAAAUGAAGUAGAAGACCUUGCAGGACUUUGAAGUUCAUCUGAAAGGGCACUGUUAGCAGGUGUUAUAUAUACAGUAUCCAGUUUGUUUCCCAGAAUAUCACCCAGAGGAUGGAAACAAAAGCAGGGUAGUGCUUUCCUUCAAAAAUGAACCCAUUUAAAUCUUCCCCCAACUGGCUGUGACUGGGGGGUCUUCUCAAUUCUGCAAGGACAGACAGUGCCUCAUCUGUUUGGUGACACACCUCUAUUAUAUGCCUCAGAAGUCUCCUGACCCCCUGCAAAGCCUGUACCAUCUGUACCCUAUUGAAUACAUGGAUAUUAAAAGCCUUAAUACUUUA
Long non-coding RNA from Lepisosteus oculatus (spotted gar), 600 nucleotides. RefSeq lists it as uncharacterized. NCBI's taxonomy places the organism in Eukaryota, Metazoa, Chordata, Actinopteri, Semionotiformes, Lepisosteidae. The record is from RefSeq and is a predicted model, not a curated record.